Molecule: long non-coding RNA, 1251 nt
Organism: Ictalurus punctatus (channel catfish)
Lineage: Eukaryota; Metazoa; Chordata; Actinopteri; Siluriformes; Ictaluridae
Source: Ensembl
CACACACACACACACACACAGUAUUAUGAGACAAUCAACAACUUACUGUUCCAAUAUUAUUAUUGAAAUGAACAUUAAAUUAGUCAGUAUGAUGUCAUCAGUGUGACACGCCAGAUUAUUUAAACCAAAUGAGAUUAGCAGGGCCACCAAUCAGACUUCAGAAAGACGUCAUUCACGUCUUUUGUUUUGGCCCCAAACAUGUCAGGUGUGGCUAAUCAGCUUAAUCGGUCUGUCUGUGUGCGCGCGUGUGUGCGUGUGUGUGCGUGCGUCUCAGAUUACAGAGAUGUUGGGGAUCGAUUAGCAGAAUAACAAAGCACAGGUGUGUUGAAUUAGCGUGAAGCACUACAGCGUACACUGUAAUUCAGAGAACACCUGUGCCGCAGGACGGUCGGUAAACAUGUGGGUUUCCGUGUUUGUGGAAAAAUAUAAACGCCCGUGCUAGCUCCUAUAAGGGCCCAGAGCAGUGAGGGAUCAUGGGAGAUGUGAGUCAACAUUGUGGCCUGUCAACAUGAAGUGAGGAAACACUCGUACCUUACCCUGGAUUUGAGAAAUGCACCUUAAAUUUCAGUUCUCAUUCUACUGUAUUCAAGCGGUGCACACAAAUUAUAAACAAGGCAGUACAGUAUGACAUCACUAAUCAAAGCACAGGCCUAAACACCUGAUUGGUGGUUUUUUGUCACACAAUGUGUGUGUGUGUGUGUGUGUGUGUGUGUGUGUUUUUGUACAGUGAUACCCUCCAUUCACACUGGUUUAUCUGUCUUUAAGUUUUGAUUUUGAUGAAUGCUAGUGUGAUGGAGUUUAAUGGAGAAUGCUUGUAUCUGAUGGAAUUUAGUGGAGAAUGAUUGCAUCUGAUGGAGUUUAAUGGAGAAUACUGGGGUCUGAUGGAGUUUAAUGGAGAAUGCUGGUGUCUGAUGGUGUUUAGUGGAGAAUGCUGGUGUCUGAUGGAGUUUAAUGGAGAUUGCUGGUGUCUGAUGGAGUUUAAUGGAGAAUGCUGGUGUCUGAUGGAGUUUAAUGGAGAAUGCUGGUGUCUGAUGGAGUUUAGUGGAGAAUGCUGGUAUCUGAUGGAGUUUAAUGGAGAAUGUUGGUGUCUGAUGGAGUUUAGUGGAGAAUGCUGGUAUCUGAUAGUGAGAAUGUUGGUGUCUGAUGGAGUUUAGUGGAGAAUGCUGGUGUCUGAUGGAGUUUAGUGGAGAAUGCUGGUGUCUGAUGGAGUUUAAUGGAGAAUGCUGGUGUCUGAUGGAGUUUAAUGGAGAA